GAUGAACGCUAGCGGCAGGCUUAACACAUGCAAGUCGAGGGGCAUCGAGAGUAGCAAUACUUGUCGGCGACCGGCGCAAGGGUGCGUAACACGUGAGCAACAUACCCGUUUCAGGAGGAUAACCGGAGGAAACUCUGCCUAAUACUCCAUGACAUCAUCAAACGGCAUCGUUUGAUGAUUAAAGAUUUAUCGGAAACGGCUUGGCUCGCGGGACAUUAGCUCGUUGGUGAGGUAACGGCUCACCAAGGCGACGAUGUCUAGGGGUUCUGAGAGGAAGGUCCCCCACACUGGAACUGAGACACGGUCCAGACUCCUACGGGAGGCAGCAGUGAGGAAUAUUGGACAAUGGUCGGAAGACUGAUCCAGCCAUGCCGCGUGAAGGUUACUGUCCUAUGGAUAUUAAACUUCUUUUGUAUGAGAGCAAUAAGGUCACGUGUGCACCGAUGAGAGUAUCAUACGAAUAAGCAUCGGCUAACCG
RNAcentral lists this ribosomal RNA (478 nucleotides) under uncultured bacterium. RNAcentral describes it as "bacterial SSU rRNA". It matches the Rfam family "Bacterial small subunit ribosomal RNA", at positions 28 to 503 of the family's 1533-position model. The record is from RNAcentral.